GGUUUAUUAAAAGAAAAUUGCAGGUUAAUUUUAGUAUGUUUAAAAUGAUUGUAAAACAUACAAAGCUAGGAGGUGAGAAAGGUCCCUUUUCUGCUUUAAAAAUGAAUGUUACCAAAGUUGCUGAUUUGGCCAAAUAAAAAAAUAUGUGUGGUUCCAGUAACCCUACCGUUCCUACUUUUUCGGCUUAAAAAUAGCCUACCCUAAAGAUUUUAUUGUCAUUUUUCAUUAAGCACUGUUAAAGUCAGAAUGUUGCUCCCAUAGACUCAAUGUAAAAAAAAACCAUAAAAUAAAAAAAAAAAAUCCCUACCUACCUACCCUAACUUUUUUUCAGAUGUAACUGGAACCACACAUACUUUUUUAUUUGGCCUUA
RNAcentral lists this long non-coding RNA (370 nucleotides) under Mytilus galloprovincialis (Mediterranean mussel). The record is from RNAcentral. Lineage: Eukaryota; Metazoa; Mollusca; Bivalvia; Mytilida; Mytilidae.